Molecule: ribosomal RNA, 470 nt
Filed under: uncultured delta proteobacterium
Lineage: Bacteria; Deltaproteobacteria
Description: bacterial SSU rRNA
Rfam family: Bacterial small subunit ribosomal RNA
Source: RNAcentral
AUUGAACGCUGGCGGCGUGCUUAACACAUGCAAGUCGAACGCGAAAGGGGCUUCGGUUCUGAGUAGAGUGGCGCACGGGUGAGUAACGCGUGGAUGAUCUGCCCUUAUGAUGGGGAUAACAGUUGGAAACGGCUGCUGGUACCGGAUACGCUCGGGAGUAAAAUUUUGAGGAAAGACGGCCUCUGCGUGCAAGCUGUCGCAUAAGGAUGAGUCCGCGUCCCAUUAGCUUGUUGGUGGGGUAACGGCCUACCAAGGCAACGAUGGGUAGCCGAUCUGAGAGGAUGAUCGGCCACACUGGAACUGAAACACGGUCCAGACUCCUACGGGAGGCAGCAGUGGGGAAUAUUGCGCAAUGGGCGAAAGCCUGACGCAGCGACGCCGCGUGAGGGAUGAAGGUCUUCGGAUCGUAAACCUCUGUCGGAGGGGAAAAAUGCAGCAUAUGCUAAUCAGUGUGCUGUUGAUGGUACCCU